Molecule: long non-coding RNA, 1566 nt
Organism: Brassica rapa (field mustard)
Lineage: Eukaryota; Viridiplantae; Streptophyta; Magnoliopsida; Brassicales; Brassicaceae
Source: RefSeq, a predicted model, not a curated record
CACGGACCACGGUCAAUCUCAUCUCUUCGCCUUCUUCCCAAAAUUAUUACCAUUGAUCUCUUCCUCUCCUUCCCUGUAAUUUCGUUUCUGAUAAGCUUAAUUUCUCAUCACCCAUGAUCUAUAUUCAAUAUGGGUUCCUGAGACUGCGAGGCGAUUGCGUUCGACGAUAAAAGGUAUGAGCUCUUGCGUUUAGAAUCAUCUUCUCAUCUAUUCUAAACUAAACAUCAAAGAAAAAAAGUGUGAUUGUGGCGAACGCUUUGGUUUCCUCUCUGAUCUAUAAACUGGCCGCUCUUCCUCCACUGUUCAAGUCGCCUGCUUCGAUCUACAGAAGUCAGUCGAUGUUCUUCAACCAUGGCGGUGAGUUUUCUAAGAUUCUGGGAAGCCAGAAACGUCGAGAGAUGAUGGCGUCGAUAUGCUCUUACUGGAUUCAAAGGCGACCAUCAUGCUGGCCACUGUGAAUGUUAACCGGCUUGCAACUUACAGGACUUAUCUCAAGGAGGGUUCAAUGUAUUCCAUCACCGGUUUUGAUAUUCAAUGUUCCGUGAAAUCAGAACUUCUGGCUUUCCUACUCCUCCCUGUUGAUUAGAUUCAGUGAUGCUGCCUCUUUGGAUGAAAUAACUAAACCGGCUUCACCCAUACCUGAAGAAUGUUUCAGGUUAUGUAAUAACACGAGAUGCUUGGUCUUGCCGACUCACACUCAAUUCCCAAGUAUUUACACUCUAUUUCAACAAGGAGACUAAUGCUGGGGAAAGCUAUUUUUACAAGUUACUGUCCAUUUAUGUAGGCUGGUCUCUAGCGACACUGGGCAUGCAUCAGCAGCUCCACUGCUGAGGGGCUAUGCCAAGGUUGAGCCUCUGACUAUAGCUGAGCUCAAAUGAAUUCAGUGACAAGAAUGAAGAAGGGCUCAGAUAGACAAAGGGUGAUGCUACGUUUCUUGCUCCAACUGUACCAGGAAGCUUCAACGCACUAUCUCAGCCUUUACAUGUGUUCACUGCAACAAUACUAAAGCUGUUGGUGUCCUUCGGCAUGUAUAAUUCCGUAGCAUGUUGUUUACAUUCAUUUUGGUAUCACGUGUAGGUCUCAACUUUUUAUACACGUUCACUGUCUUAUAGCUACCUUGUGGAGAUGGCCAUUGCUGAUGAUACUGCUGUAGAGUCUAUUUUUCUGCUUUGACAGGGUAAUGACGAAACUGCAUAACAUGAGAGUCUAUGAAGAUGAUAUUCCUGGUGCCAUCUCGGUACCUGCUAAGGCAGAGCCGAAUACAUGAGCAGGUCUAAGUGGUGUCAACACAACUAAGUCUCCAGCACUAGGGUGUUCUAAGAUGGUCAAGAAAGUACGCAAGUCAUAGAUUAAAAUAAUGAUAGAUCUGGCAUCAGUAUUUCCUCUUUGAAUAAUGCUUAGGCAUUGUUGUUUUUCUUUUGUUUUUGAACAAGUUCGUUUAUGUUUUACUCCUCUUUUGGUUAAUUUAUGUUUGGUUUAGACUCUCUUUAUAAAAUAUGUCUCAGUUUCCACAAUUGUUGUACAUCUAACUCACUAUUUAUUUAAGACGGACGACACUUGGUCCCA